RNAcentral lists this ribosomal RNA (497 nucleotides) under uncultured bacterium. RNAcentral describes it as "partial 16S ribosomal RNA". It matches the Rfam family "Bacterial small subunit ribosomal RNA", at positions 28 to 507 of the family's 1533-position model. The record is from RNAcentral.
GAUGAACGCUGGCGGCGUGCCUAAUACAUGCAAGUCGAGCGAACGGACGAGAAGCUCGCUUCUCUGAUGUUAGCGGCGGACGGGUGAGUAACACGUGGAUAACCUACCUAUAAGACUGGGAUAACUUCGGGAAACCGGAGCUAAUACCGGAUGAUAUUUUGAACCGCAUGGUUCAAAAGUGAAAGACGGUCUUGCUGUCACUUAUAGAUGGAUCCGCGCUGCAUUAGCUAGUUGGUAAGGUAACGGCUUACCAAGGCAACGAUGCAUAGCCGACCUGAGAGGGUGAUCGGCCACACUGGAACUGAGACACGGUCCAGACUCCUACGGGAGGCAGCAGUAGGGAAUCUUCCGCAAUGGGCGAAAGCCUGACGGAGCAACGCCGCGUGAGUGACGAAGGUCUUCGGAUCGUAAAACUCUGUUAUUAGGGAAGAACAUAUGUGUAAGUAACUGUGCACAUCUUGACGGUACCUAAUCAGAAAGCCACGGCUAACUACGUG